UCCGGUUUGUCACCGGCAGUCUCGCAUGAGUCCCCAACUGAAUGCUGGCAACAUGCGACGGGGGUUGCGCUCGUUGCGGGACUUAACCCAACAUCUCACGACACGAGUUGACGACGGCCAUGCACCACCUGUGAUCCUGCCCCUAAGGGAAACCGUGUUUCCACGGCGGUCAGGAACAUGUCAAACCCAGGUAAGGUUCUUCGCGUUUCGUCGAAUUAAACCACAUGCUCCGCUGCUUGUGCGGGUCCCCGUCAAUUCCUUUGAGUUUUAGCCUUGCGGCCGUACUCCCCAGGCGGGGCACUUAAUGCGUUAGCUGCGGCACGGACAACGUGGAAGGAAACCCACACCUAGCGCCCACCGUUUACGGCGUGGACUAC
Molecule: unclassified non-coding RNA, 377 nt
Filed under: uncultured Solirubrobacterales bacterium
Lineage: Bacteria; Bacillati; Actinomycetota; Thermoleophilia; Solirubrobacterales
Description: contains 16S-23S intergenic spacer region
Source: RNAcentral